GCCGGGGUGGCGGAAUGGUAGACGCGGAGGUCUCAAAAACCUCUGGGCGCAAGCCCGUGCGGGUUCGAGUCCCGCUCCCGGUA
RNAcentral lists this transfer RNA (83 nucleotides) under Gemmatimonadales bacterium. RNAcentral describes it as "tRNA-Leu". It matches the Rfam family "tRNA". Rfam says of the family: Transfer RNA (tRNA) molecules are approximately 80 nucleotides in length. Lineage: Bacteria; Pseudomonadati; Gemmatimonadota; Gemmatimonadia; Gemmatimonadales. The record is from RNAcentral.